Molecule: non-coding RNA, 724 nt
Organism: Cyanistes caeruleus (blue tit)
Lineage: Eukaryota; Metazoa; Chordata; Aves; Passeriformes; Paridae
Source: RefSeq, a predicted model, not a curated record
GCUCCGCUCCCUCUCGCGCGCCGCUCGGCUCCUUCACAGGGUGACACGUCUGCGAUUUUUGGACAAGUGGGGAAAGACAUAAAAAUCAACAAUAAAAAUAAAAAGGAAAAAAAAAAAAAAAGCUUUGGAAGAAGAUUGUACCAGGAAAACCUCACAGAAAUCUGCUCAGCUCAUUUAUCCGAGGCACCAAUAUGAUGAUGAUGAAAGAAGAUUGUAACUAAAGAAGAGAGUGAUUUACUGCCCUGGGAAGGAGAAGAGAGUGGAAUAAACAGCUGAGAUCCGGUCAAAACACAAAUACUACAUUUUUUUUGUUAUUGUUUUGUUUGGCUUUUUUUUUUUGCUUUUUUUUCCCCUUUUUUCGUGGUGUGUGUGCAGAGCGCGGUCAGGAGCGCGGCACUGGGACUGAGCGGGGCAGGCGCUGCCGUGACCGCCCGGAGCGCGGCCCGGCCCGGAGCCAUGGACGAUCAGUCCAGGAUGCUGCAGACUCUGGCCGGUGUGAACCUGGCCGGGCACUCGGUGCAGGGGGGCAUGGCCCUGCCGCCUCCCCACGGACACGAAGGGGCUGACGGCGACGGCAGGAAGCAGGACAUCGGCGACAUCCUCCAUCAGAUCAUGACCAUCACUGACCAAAGCCUGGAUGAGGCACAAGCAAAGUUGGUUUCGUCUAAUUAAACCUUGUCUUUUUAAAAAAAUUAUUAUUAAUAUUAUUAUUUUUUAAAUUAUU